RNAcentral lists this ribosomal RNA (2902 nucleotides) under Escherichia coli KTE53. Its description in RNAcentral is "bacterial LSU rRNA". It matches the Rfam family "Bacterial large subunit ribosomal RNA". The record is from RNAcentral. Lineage: Bacteria; Pseudomonadati; Pseudomonadota; Gammaproteobacteria; Enterobacterales; Enterobacteriaceae.
UUAAGCGACUAAGCGUACACGGUGGAUGCCCUGGCAGUCAGAGGCGAUGAAGGACGUGCUAAUCUGCGAUAAGCGUCGGUGAGGUGAUAUGAACCGUUAUAACCGGCGAUUUCCGAAUGGGGAAACCCAGUGUGUUUCGACACACUAUCAUUAACUGAAUCCAUAGGUUAAUGAGGCGAACCGGGGGAACUGAAACAUCUAAGUACCCCGAGGAAAAGAAAUCAACCGAGAUUCCCCCAGUAGCGGCGAGCGAACGGGGAGGAGCCCAGAGCCUGAAUCAGUGUGUGUGUUAGUGGAAGCGUCUGGAAAGGCGUGCGAUACAGGGUGACAGCCCCGUACACAAAAAUGCACAUAUUGUGAGCUCGAUGAGUAGGGCGGGACACGUGGUAUCCUGUCUGAAUAUGGGGGGACCAUCCUCCAAGGCUAAAUACUCCUGACUGACCGAUAGUGAACCAGUACCGUGAGGGAAAGGCGAAAAGAACCCCGGCGAGGGGAGUGAAAAAGAACCUGAAACCGUGUACGUACAAGCAGUGGGAGCCUCUUAAUGGGGUGACUGCGUACCUUUUGUAUAAUGGGUCAGCGACUUAUAUUCUGUAGCAAGGUUAACCGAAUAGGGGAGCCGAAGGGAAACCGAGUCUUAACUGGGCGUUAAGUUGCAGGGUAUAGACCCGAAACCCGGUGAUCUAGCCAUGGGCAGGUUGAAGGUUGGGUAACACUAACUGGAGGACCGAACCGACUAAUGUUGAAAAAUUAGCGGAUGACUUGUGGCUGGGGGUGAAAGGCCAAUCAAACCGGGAGAUAGCUGGUUCUCCCCGAAAGCUAUUUAGGUAGCGCCUCGUGAAUUCAUCUCCGGGGGUAGAGCACUGUUUCGGCAAGGGGGUCAUCCCGACUUACCAACCCGAUGCAAACUGCGAAUACCGGAGAAUGUUAUCACGGGAGACACACGGCGGGUGCUAACGUCCGUCGUGAAGAGGGAAACAACCCAGACCGCCAGCUAAGGUCCCAAAGUCAUGGUUAAGUGGGAAACGAUGUGGGAAGGCCCAGACAGCCAGGAUGUUGGCUUAGAAGCAGCCAUCAUUUAAAGAAAGCGUAAUAGCUCACUGGUCGAGUCGGCCUGCGCGGAAGAUGUAACGGGGCUAAACCAUGCACCGAAGCUGCGGCAGCGACACUAUGUGUUGUUGGGUAGGGGAGCGUUCUGUAAGCCUGUGAAGGUGGCCUGUGAGGGUUGCUGGAGGUAUCAGAAGUGCGAAUGCUGACAUAAGUAACGAUAAAGCGGGUGAAAAGCCCGCUCGCCGGAAGACCAAGGGUUCCUGUCCAACGUUAAUCGGGGCAGGGUGAGUCGACCCCUAAGGCGAGGCCGAAAGGCGUAGUCGAUGGGAAACAGGUUAAUAUUCCUGUACUUGGUGUUACUGCGAAGGGGGGACGGAGAAGGCUAUGUUGGCCGGGCGACGGUUGUCCCGGUUUAAGCGUGUAGGCUGGUUUUCCAGGCAAAUCCGGAAAACCAAGGCUGAGGCGUGAUGACGAGGCACUACGGUGCUGAAGUGACAAAUGCCCUGCUUCCAGGAAAAGCCUCUAAGCAUCAGGUAACAUCAAAUCGUACCCNAAACCGACACAGGUGGUCAGGUAGAGAAUACCAAGGCGCUUGAGAGAACUCGGGUGAAGGAACUAGGCAAAAUGGUGCCGUAACUUCGGGAGAAGGCACGCUGAUAUGUAGGUGAAGCGACUUGCUCGUGGAGCUGAAAUCAGUCGAAGAUACCAGCUGGCUGCAACUGUUUAUUAAAAACACAGCACUGUGCAAACACGAAAGUGGACGUAUACGGUGUGACGCCUGCCCGGUGCCGGAAGGUUAAUUGAUGGGGUUAGCGGCAACGCGAAGCUCUUGAUCGAAGCCCCGGUAAACGGCGGCCGUAACUAUAACGGUCCUAAGGUAGCGAAAUUCCUUGUCGGGUAAGUUCCGACCUGCACGAAUGGCGUAAUGAUGGCCAGGCUGUCUCCACCCGAGACUCAGUGAAAUUGAACUCGCUGUGAAGAUGCAGUGUACCCGCGGCAAGACGGAAAGACCCCGUGAACCUUUACUAUAGCUUGACACUGAACAUUGAGCCUUGAUGUGUAGGAUAGGUGGGAGGCUUUGAAGUGUGGACGCCAGUCUGCAUGGAGCCGACCUUGAAAUACCACCCUUUAAUGUUUGAUGUUCUAACGUUGGCCCGUAAUCCGGGUUGCGGACAGUGUCUGGUGGGUAGUUUGACUGGGGCGGUCUCCUCCUAAAGAGUAACGGAGGAGCACGAAGGUUGGCUAAUCCUGGUCGGACAUCAGGAGGUUAGUGCAAUGGCAUAAGCCAGCUUGACUGCGAGCGUGACGGCGCGAGCAGGUGCGAAAGCAGGUCAUAGUGAUCCGGUGGUUCUGAAUGGAAGGGCCAUCGCUCAACGGAUAAAAGGUACUCCGGGGAUAACAGGCUGAUACCGCCCAAGAGUUCAUAUCGACGGCGGUGUUUGGCACCUCGAUGUCGGCUCAUCACAUCCUGGGGCUGAAGUAGGUCCCAAGGGUAUGGCUGUUCGCCAUUUAAAGUGGUACGCGAGCUGGGUUUAGAACGUCGUGAGACAGUUCGGUCCCUAUCUGCCGUGGGCGCUGGAGAACUGAGGGGGGCUGCUCCUAGUACGAGAGGACCGGAGUGGACGCAUCACUGGUGUUCGGGUUGUCAUGCCAAUGGCACUGCCCGGUAGCUAAAUGCGGAAGAGAUAAGUGCUGAAAGCAUCUAAGCACGAAACUUGCCCCGAGAUGAGUUCUCCCUGACUCCUUGAGGGUCCUGAAGGAACGUUGAAGACGACGACGUUGAUAGGCCGGGUGUGUAAGCGCAGCGAUGCGUUGAGCUAACCGGUACUAAUGAACCGUGAGGCUUAACCUU